RNA transcript from Passer montanus (Eurasian tree sparrow), 2082 nucleotides. It is a transcript of the gene named C-type lectin domain family 4 member E-like, with no coding region annotated. The transcript is spliced from 7 exons. Lineage: Eukaryota; Metazoa; Chordata; Aves; Passeriformes; Passeridae. The record is from RefSeq and is a predicted model, not a curated record.
GAGAUUGUGUGAGCUGCAGUGAUGCUCCUCUUCAUCUGUUUUCCUUUGUCUUUGUGACUUUCUGUGUUGCAAUAAGCAUCUUGUGAAAUGUCCUGGCGGGGAAAUGAUGAAAAUUCCCCAAUCUCCAUGUGCUGUGGGGUACACCAGGGUGGGAGGUGGCCUGUUCAGCAGGAAGGCUGUUUCUGGCCAAACUGGUAACCGGGACACUUGGAGAAGUGCGAUCCUCUUGCAGAGAUGAUGAGUGGCCAAGGGAGAGUCACUGCUGGAAGUGCAGCCCCAGCAGAAAGGAGAAACUGCACCUGGCUGAACACCUGGGUCUUCCUUAUUUUUGCCCUUCCAAUCAAAGCUGUCUUCGUGACCAUCUGCCUUGUGGCUUUACUUGAUGGAAGCUCUGGCCAUUACAAGAUUAUCCUCCAGAACUCUACAGAGUGGUAUUGUGUCCCCAGCAGUUCUGCAGAGAAAGUGGAUGGCUGGACGUGCUGCCCAAAGGGCUGGAGAAGGUUUCAAAGAAGCUGCUAUUUCCUGUCCCCUGACACGAUGUCAUGGUCUGAGAGUGAGCAGAACUGCAGUGGGAUGGGCUCCCAGCUGGUGGUGAUCAGCAGCAAGGUAGAGCAGGAGUUCCUCUUCAACUUGGCAAAAGAAAAAGCUACCAACAUCUAUGAAACAAAAUUCUACAUAGGCUUAUCUGCUUACAAAAAUAGGAAGUGGCAAUGGGUGGAUCAGACUCCAUAUGAGAAUACAGUCACGCUUUUGGACAAUCUGCUGGUUUCCUGGAAAUGCCUCAGCUGAUCAUGAGCACUUCAGCACCAUCUCCUGUUCACAGCAAGUCACCUGCACUCUCUCAGUGUCACUGUGAUCUACCUUCAUGAGAUCAGGAGGAGAUGCAGAGUGCCUGACUCUGUCACUGCAGUCCCUUGUGGUACAUCAAUGACUCUACAUCAAGAUGUGCCUCAUCACAAUGGGCCUGCCUGGCAACCAGUGGAAUAUGUGUGACCUUGGUCACCACCACAGGACCCAACACUGACCUGAGGACUGAUUUCCGUGCUUUACCUCAGACCUUCCUCAUCCCUGGAGACUUGUCCAACCAUCUAGACCCUGGAUGCUGUGCCAGGUGUGCCCUGCUUGCCCCACUCAGGUGUAGUGGCUGGUCCCCAGCUGUCCUACUGCAGCUGGCUCCUGGCCACCGACCCUCGGGGAGCAGCCGCCUCCACUGUGCCCUCACAGUGUCUGUUGUACUACAAAGCAAAUCAGGAACUGGAAUUCAUUUUAUUUUGUUGGUUUUUUUGGGGAAGGCAGAUUCUUGUCAGUUUGUUUUAGUAAAGUAGCUCUUUACUAUUGAAUAUUAUGUAAAUAUGGAAUAUUAUUCCACAGCUCACUUGAGCUUUGGGUAGAAUUUGCUGCUGAUGGCCACCUUCUUCACUGUAUUUAUCAUCACUUUGAUUCCAAUUUUGCUGUUUUUCAUGCUGUUUGUAAAAAGCCUCUUUUUUUAGAAAAGACAAAGUUACUGCACUCCUUAACAUCUUCCAUGAGCUCCUCAGUAUUGCUGACAACCAUAAUCAGCUUUAAAAGUCAUGUUCCAGUAGCUUUUCAUAUAAUUUAGAUUAUCUUUGGUUCUUUUUCCUUCAGGGACAAUUCAACAGGCUAAACUGGUUCCUCAUAGCUUCAAAGUAGUGCAGGAGGGAUACAGAGCCAUUCACAUCCUUGAAGUGGUGCUACAGUCCACUUGUUUUAGCAAGUCUGAGAGAAGCUGGAAGAGUUUUGUAUGUUGGGUUCCACCACAGGCCACGCAGUACUGCUUGAAUCUGUGCACAGGAUCUGCAGUGUCUGUGCAAAUCUUUUUAUCUUAUGAGAUUAUGGGUUAUCUUAUAGGUUAUAUAGGUUAUCUUAUGAGAGAGAACCACAUAAAUCAAUCCAGAAGAAACUGAUCGGUAAUCUCAACAAAAUUGUUGCAGAACCACUGACAGAUUACAACUUUACUGUUGGAUUCAGAGCCAUAUGAGGCCAGAUGUGAUGGUUGAUGAAUAAAAUCCUUCUGACAGAAAGACAUGUUUGGAGAAGCAAAUGCAGUAUGGAAACACAACA